Molecule: ribosomal RNA, 447 nt
Filed under: uncultured bacterium
Lineage: Bacteria
Description: bacterial SSU rRNA
Rfam family: Bacterial small subunit ribosomal RNA
Source: RNAcentral
GAUGAACGCUAGCGGCAGGCUUAACACAUGCAAGUCGAGGGGUAUAGUUCUUCGGAAUUAGAGACCGGCGCACGGGUGCGUAACGCGUAUGCAAUCUACCUUUCACAGAGGGAUAGCCCCAGAGAAAUUUGGAUUAAUACCUCAUAGUAUAGCAGUUUCGCAUGAAACCACUAUUAAAGUCACAACGGUGAAAGAUGAGCAUGCGUCCCAUUAGCUAGUUGGUAAGGUAACGGCUUACCAAGGCUACGAUGGGUAGGGGUCCUGAGAGGGAGAUCCCCCACACUGGUACUGAGACACGGACCAGACUCCUACGGGAGGCAGCAGUGAGGAAUAUUGGACAAUGGGCGCAAGCCUGAUCCAGCCAUGCCGCGUGCAGGAAGAAGGUCCUAUGGAUUGUAAACUGCUUUAUACAAGAAGAAACACUACCCUCGUGAGGGAACUUGACGG